This is a long non-coding RNA of Pundamilia nyererei, 1231 nucleotides long. RefSeq lists it as uncharacterized. The transcript has 3 exons. The record is from RefSeq and is a predicted model, not a curated record. NCBI's taxonomy places the organism in Eukaryota, Metazoa, Chordata, Actinopteri, Cichliformes, Cichlidae.
GCUGGGGCUCCUGACAGGCUCAGAGAAGCAGUUUGCUUUGCGAAGCAGCAGUUUGAACUCCCAGGAUCCUUACAACAUACUGCCGCUAGCCAGCAGCCAGAUCAGGUUCGGGCUGCUGCCUCUCAGCGUGUCAAAUGUGCAGAAAUCCAAGGCAGCUUCCAGAAGCUCUGAAGCUCCUCAGCAGCUGGUGGCUCCUCAGUCCUUCACAGCAGGCAGUGAUGACAGCUUCCGGCCAGGCAGCCUUUUCAGGCAGCUCGCUGAUCAGGAUGAAGACACAGCAGCGACUUCUUUAUUUAAGCUUAACUGGCUCUCUGGGAUGGGCAAAUAAUUCUCAGCUGGCUGCUUUGUUACAGUGACAUGUACAGUAAACACUCCUUUUGUGUGUUGACAAAAUGCCUCCUGUGUGAUGUGUAAAUGUUGUGUAAGCACUGACGUGUGUUGGCUGACUGGUGAUCAGAGCAGCGAUACUCUGGUUGAAUGUGUGCAUACACAAGCAGCAUCGUUCAGGCACUCUGUUCCUGAAAGGAAACUGUGUGUGACAGGGUGGAUGCUUCCUCUGUAGUGCUUUUCUACUCUUCACACUUUCUUUAUGCUCCUUCUACCAAAGUGCUUUUCACAUUCACACACACUCAUACUCUGAUGGAUGCAUCGGAGAGCAGCUUAGGCUGUGGCUGGUUGGUGGGGUAGGCUGUCUUUUUCACUCUGGACUGAAACAUGUUUAACACACUGUGGUUUGUGACAUACAGACUGAUGCAGUCAGCUUCUAUCACAGGAUGUCUCCACAGCUACUUUUGUAUGAGUAUGUGAACAUGCUGACACGAAGCAUUAUCCCUGCAAACACUCCAGCGAUCAGCUGACACAUUCUGUACUGGGUUCUACAUUUUCUCUGGGUGUUAAUAUGUCAGGUUGUAUUUUAUGUAUGUAUUCAGUUCAGAUAGAGAUGUAUGGCUGCCAUGAUGGCAGAAAGCAGGUUGACUUUAUCAUUAUUGCCUCAGAGUAAUCACCAGUGUGAAACACAUUCUGGUGUUUGUGCAGCACUGUGGUGAUUAGUGCUGUCACCUCACAUCAAACAGGUUGUGGGUUUGAAUCCGUGCCUGCAUGGACUCUGAACGUGUGUUAAUCAUGAGUUCUUAUUGGUUGUUGGGUAAGUAUUGUAAUGCUAAAUGUGUCUUGUGGUUAAAUGUUGCUUGUGUCUCUCACCAAAAUAAACUCAGCCAAACCUUCUGACGGU